Molecule: transfer RNA, 65 nt
Filed under: Methylobacterium sp. RAS18
Lineage: Bacteria; Pseudomonadati; Pseudomonadota; Alphaproteobacteria; Hyphomicrobiales; Methylobacteriaceae
Description: tRNA-OTHER
Source: RNAcentral
AAAAUAGCUGGCCCGCCCGCCUUCUAAGCGGCAGGUCGUAGGUUCGAGCCCUACCGGGGUCGCCA